CACACUUACUCAUGUGACGCGCUAAAAUUAUAAUGAUUUGGAUGAUAAAUAAAAAAAGAGGCAAUAACGAUAAUUUUUGAAAAAAAUCUUGUCAGCCCUUAUUUUUGUAGGAAAAAUACCAAACAUAAAAAACUUAAAAAAUAAAAUAAAAAAUGAUCAUAUCAUAAUCAAUGAACGAACAAACAUUUGUUGUGGAGCUAAAUAAGUGUACAGGUACUUGACCUGAAAUGCCGGAGUUUUGAAAGAAUACAUGAGUACCUAUAUUAUUAUAUAUUAGUAUGAAAACAAAAGAAAAAAAAUAUCAGUAUACAGGUACCAAUAAUUACUAUAUUAUAUGUACUUACGGGUAUUACUGCUAUUUAUUAUAUAGCUAUAGUUAUUAUGAUGGUGUGUGAUGGUAAAAUACUAAAAUCCAAGUCAUAAAAAGAACGGAUAAAAAUCGAGAGGUUUUUGAUCAUUAUAGCGCGCAUGAAAUAAAUAGUUGACUGUACAAUAUAUUCGAUCGAUACAUAAUAUAUAAUAUAUAGUACCUAUCAGUAGCCUAUAUGUACAUGGAGGGGAGGGGGUACAUAGUGUGCCGCAGCCCUCCGAAAUGUAUUUCUCGAGUGAUCGAUUUUAGGUAAAACUCAUAAAACCAUCCCAUAUCUACUAUGUCUUCUAGUCCAUAAUGUAAAUUAAAUUAUAUUUAUAUAAUUAAAUAUUUGUUAUCAUUUUAUUUUGGAAUUCAUAAUAUAUCAUAAUAAUAAUAGUCUUACAAUAUCAUUACCUAGUUUCAUUUUCAGAUAUGUUUUUUCAGCGGAUCAUAUCGACAACAAUCGCCUACCACUCACCAGUUCACUCAAAAUAAUACCUACAGACAAACGACACCUGUGUUAGAUUUUAUUUUAUAUUUUUUAAUUAUUUUAUGUAGGUACCCACUUCAUUCUGUACUUAGCAUGAUUCUAAUAAUUGAUUAUUAUCAAUAUUAAGGACUAGGUACCUAUUAUUUUUAUACACCUACCCACUCAUUAAUAAUUACUGGAAUACUAGGUAAUCAAUAAAUUUAAUUUAACUUAUUUUAUUAAUAAAAAAAAAACUUUCUUAUUCUAAGCACUUCUUGUUCAACUUCAAACUUUUUAAAACCACUAUCCAUUAUAUCCUACCUCGAAAAUAUUGUCUAUGGAUACGUUACGCUACGGAUACCUAUACUCUGCUUAUAGGUACGAUAGUGAAACGAACUUAAAUCUAUAGUCUAUGCGAGCAUUUACAUAGGAGUGAUGGAGGAGUAUAUUGUAUAUACCUACGUAAUAUUGUAUAAUAUAAUAUCGAACAUGUCCUUUAUUAUUAUACCUUUACCCGGAAAUUCGAAAUUUGCGUAUAACACAUGUAUUGCGUGCCUAAAACAAUCGCGUACAAGCUACCUAUAUUGUUAUUUAGACUAAAAAAAAAAAAGGAAAAGAGUACGAGACUUAGGUUCAGUUUUUGGAGCUAGUUAGGUGUAUAGGCCUACCUAGACACCUACCUAGACAAUGUGUGGUGCGCUAAUAAAAUAUUGAGAUAAAAAAAAAAUGUUGAGGAUUUUGCGGACCAGUUUGGGUACAACAAUAAUUUAAUAAUAUAUAGAUACAUAAAUUAUAUAAUAGUUAUUUGGUAUAGUAGCAUAGGUAUUUCUAUUUACAUAGAUGGACGAACGAAUAGAUAAUAAGUACACGAUUCUACGUCUAACGUCGGAACGGAGACGAUAUUUAUAGUGAGGAUUAGAUGUGGAAGUUUAUUCUUAUAAGGAGCCGACGAUUUGUAGGACCCAAAUUGAGUACAAGUCUAAAAAUAGUUUAAUGAAAAAAAAAAAAGAAAAUAGUGAACAUCGUAAUGUGCAGAAACGUAUUGUGCCCUUUCGUGCAGAAAUAGUAUACAUUUAAAUUUUAAAAUUGUUCAAGAAAUAUAUUAAAU
This is a non-coding RNA of Cinara cedri, 1929 nucleotides long. NCBI's taxonomy places the organism in Eukaryota, Metazoa, Arthropoda, Insecta, Hemiptera, Aphididae. The record is from the annotation of a GenBank genome assembly.